This 587-nucleotide unclassified non-coding RNA is filed under the name Hedera helix. Its description in RNAcentral is "partial contains ITS1, 5.8S rRNA and ITS2". The stretch from base 215 to 370 matches the Rfam family "5.8S ribosomal RNA". The record is from RNAcentral. Lineage: Eukaryota; Viridiplantae; Streptophyta; Magnoliopsida; Apiales; Araliaceae.
CAGCAGAACGACCCGUGAACAUGUUACCAUACCCGGGUGAGGGACGGGGGGAGCGCAAGUUCCCCAAGUCACGAACCUACGGUCGGGGAUCGCCCUCGGGUGGUCCUCGCCUGAACAACGACCCCCCGGCGCGAAAAGCGCCAAGGAAAUCAAACUGAACUGAACGCUUCUCACCCGUUUGCGGGCGACAGAGGCGUCUUUCUAAAUCACAAACGACUCUCGGCAACGGAUAUCUCGGCUCUCGCAUCGAUGAAGAACGUAGCGAAAUGCGAUACUUGGUGUGAAUUGCAGAAUCCCGUGAACCAUCGAGUCUUUGAACGCAAGUUGCGCCCGAAGCCAUUAGGCUGAGGGCACGUCUGCCUGGGCGUCACGCAUGACGUCGCCCCCCCAACCUCGCACUCGCUCGUGGGAGUUGUUGCGAAGGGGCGGAUACUGGCCUCCCGUGCCUCACCGCAUGGUUGGCCCAAAUGUGAGUCCUUGGCGACGGACGUCACGACAAGUGGUGGUUGUAAAAAGCCCUCUUUCUCCUGUCGUGCGGUGGCGUGUCGCCAGCAAGAACUCUCGUGACCCUGUUGUGCCGUUCUCUA